Molecule: small nuclear RNA, 164 nt
Filed under: Penaeus monodon (black tiger shrimp)
Lineage: Eukaryota; Metazoa; Arthropoda; Malacostraca; Decapoda; Penaeidae
Description: U1 spliceosomal RNA
Rfam family: U1 spliceosomal RNA
About the family: U1 is a small nuclear RNA (snRNA) component of the spliceosome (involved in pre-mRNA splicing). Its 5' end forms complementary base pairs with the 5' splice junction, thus defining the 5' donor site of an intron.
Source: RNAcentral
AUACUUACCUGGCACAGGAGAUUACCGUGAUCAGGCGAAGGCGGUUCUCCCAGGGGCGAGGCUAACCAUUGCACUCGUGGCGCGAACCCCUGCGAUUAACACAAAUGUGGUUAACUCGAGUGCGCCAAAUUUUGUUAGUGGGGACUGCGUUCGCGCUAUCCCCC